AUUGCUUCUGUGGACAGGUGUCUUUUAUAGAGGUAACAAGCUGAGAUUAUGAGCACUCCCUUUAAGAGAGUGUUCCUAAUCUCAGCUUGUUACCUCUAUAAAAGACACCUGGGAGCCAGAAA
This 122-nucleotide microRNA precursor is filed under the name Pelobates cultripes (western spadefoot toad). The record is from RNAcentral. Lineage: Eukaryota; Metazoa; Chordata; Amphibia; Anura; Pelobatidae.